This 253-nucleotide ribosomal RNA is filed under the name uncultured bacterium. Its description in RNAcentral is "partial 16S ribosomal RNA". It matches the Rfam family "Bacterial small subunit ribosomal RNA", at positions 524 to 776 of the family's 1533-position model. The record is from RNAcentral.
UACGUAGGGUGCAAGCGUUAAUCGGAAUUACUGGGCGUAAAGCGUGCGCAGGCGGUGAUGUAAGACAGAUGUGAAAUCCCCGGGCUCAACCUGGGAACUGCAUUUGUGACUGCAUCGCUGGAGUGCGGCAGAGGGGGAUGGAAUUCCGCGUGUAGCAGUGAAAUGCGUAGAUAUGCGGAGGAACACCGAUGGCGAAGGCAGUCCCCUGGGCCUGUACUGACGCUCAUGCACGAAAGCGUGGGGAGCAAACAGG